GCUACAAGGGAUAACUCAGUGGGUCGGGUAUGAGACGCUUAAUCUCACGGUCGUGGGUUCAAGCCCUACAUGGAGCA
Podarcis lilfordi (Lilford's wall lizard) is the source of this 77-nucleotide non-coding RNA. NCBI's taxonomy places the organism in Eukaryota, Metazoa, Chordata, Lepidosauria, Squamata, Lacertidae. The record is from the annotation of a GenBank genome assembly.